GAUGAACGCUGGCGGCGUGCUUAACACAUGCAAGUCGAACGAAGCACUUAAGAUUGAUUCUUCGGAUGACGUCUUUUGUGACUUAGUGGCGGACGGGUGAGUAACGCGUGGGUAACCUGCCUCACACAGGGGGAUAACAGUUAGAAAUGACUGCUAAUACCGCAUAACCCGAUAGGAUCGCAUGAUCCAGACGGAAAAGAUUUAUCGGUGUGAGAUGGACCCGCGUCUGAUUAGCUAGUUGGUGAGGUAACGGCCCACCAAGGCGACGAUCAGUAGCCGGCCUGAGAGGGUGAACGGCCACAUUGGGACUGAGACACGGCCCAAACUCCUACGGGAGGCAGCAGUGGGGAAUAUUGCACAAUGGGGGAAACCCUGAUGCAGCGACGCCGCGUGAGUGAAGAAGUAUUUCGGUAUGUAAAGCUCUAUCAGCAGGGAAGAAAAUGACGGUACCUGUCGAAGAAGCCCCGGCUAACUACGUG
RNAcentral lists this ribosomal RNA (479 nucleotides) under uncultured bacterium. RNAcentral's name for it is "partial 16S ribosomal RNA". It matches the Rfam family "Bacterial small subunit ribosomal RNA", at positions 28 to 507 of the family's 1533-position model. The record is from RNAcentral.